RNAcentral lists this long non-coding RNA (338 nucleotides) under Mus musculus (house mouse). RNAcentral describes it as "RIKEN cDNA D830013O20 gene (ENSMUSG00000056359.9)". The record is from RNAcentral. Lineage: Eukaryota; Metazoa; Chordata; Mammalia; Rodentia; Muridae.
AUGAGAAGCAGCACUCACUGGAAGCACAGCACAGAAGCCAAAGGAACCAUCUACUCCUCCGGCAUUGCAACUGCAAGUAAUGUCUACCUGUGCCACCGUAGAAACGGACUUCUAACAUUGUUUUUCAAAGGUCUCCACUUCUCUCAAAGUCUGGCAAAUGUUGGAACUUUCCUGUUCUAUGUAGGAGCCUGCAUGCCCCAUGUCUCUCCUUUGCUAAAUCUUUGGGAACACACCUUGCUUCAGAGGACAUGGCAGGCUGGAGUAUUAACUGGAGCUGUGACAGAGCAGGCUUUCAACACAGUGUGGACAGUGCCAUCACCUAUGCUUACAACAUUUUU